UACGUAGGUGGCAAGCGUUGUCCGGAUUUAUUGGGUUUAAAGGGUGCGUAGGCGGCUUUGUAAGUCAGUGGUGAAAUAUGGCAGCUCAACUGUCAAGGUGCCAUUGAUACUGCGGAGCUUGAGUACAGAUGAGGUAGGCGGAGUUGACGGUGUAGCGGUGAAAUGCUUAGAUAUCGUCAAGAACACCUAUAGCGAAGGCAGCUUACUAGGCUGUAACUGACGCUGAGGCACGAAAGUGUGGGGAUCAAACAGG
This 253-nucleotide ribosomal RNA is filed under the name uncultured bacterium. RNAcentral's name for it is "partial 16S ribosomal RNA". It matches the Rfam family "Bacterial small subunit ribosomal RNA", at positions 524 to 776 of the family's 1533-position model. The record is from RNAcentral.